Molecule: ribosomal RNA, 253 nt
Filed under: uncultured bacterium
Lineage: Bacteria
Description: partial 16S ribosomal RNA
Rfam family: Bacterial small subunit ribosomal RNA
Source: RNAcentral
UACGGAGGGUGCAAGCGUUAAUCGGAAUUACUGGGCGUAAAGCGCACGCAGGUGGCUGAGUCAGUCGAUUGUGAAAGCCCUGGGCUUAACCUGGGAAUUGCAGUCGAUACUACUCAGCUAGAGUAUGGGAGAGGGUAGUGGAAUUCCCGGUGUAGCGGUGAAAUGCGUAGAUAUCGGGAGGAACAUCAGUGGCGAAGGCGGCUAACUGGUCCGAUACUGACGCUGAGGUGCGAAAGCGUGGGGAGCAAACAGG